GAUGUGAAUGUGUGGAGAAAGGGCUAGGAGGAGGCAAAACUAUGUAUAGAAGCACUGAGUCACAAUCAAGGUAAAGUCCAGGUAACAUGGUAACCCAGAACCAGGAGGAAAACACUGGUGAACAGAAGGAGAAAGACAGAGAGGUCUGGGAAUAAUUGGUCCAUAUGCACAUUACACAAGCAUCGUAUCUUACAGGAACAUGCACAGGAGAUGCAAGAGAGAGUGAUAAAUUUGCCUUUUGUUGAAUAGCUCCUUCUUUCACUGGUAGACUUGCCCCCACACAGAGAAGACAGCCUAAAUAAAAGAAUUCCUAGAAGAAAUGACAGGAAUCUUGGCAGGAAUUCCAUCCACAGAAUUGUUCCUGGUCACCUCUGUUUUCCACUGUCUGAUGUUCCUGUUCCAGCAGCUCAGAA
Molecule: non-coding RNA, 413 nt
Organism: Pogona vitticeps (central bearded dragon)
Lineage: Eukaryota; Metazoa; Chordata; Lepidosauria; Squamata; Agamidae
Source: RefSeq, a predicted model, not a curated record